RNAcentral lists this ribosomal RNA (999 nucleotides) under Pseudarthrobacter sp. RNAcentral describes it as "bacterial SSU rRNA". It matches the Rfam family "Bacterial small subunit ribosomal RNA", at positions 508 to 1499 of the family's 1533-position model. Lineage: Bacteria; Bacillati; Actinomycetota; Actinomycetes; Micrococcales; Micrococcaceae. The record is from RNAcentral.
CCAGCAGCCGCGGUAAUACGUAGGGCGCAAGCGUUAUCCGGGAAUUAUUGGGCGUAAAGAGCUCGUAGGCGGUUUGUCGCGUCUGCCGUGAAAGUCCGGGGCUCAACUCCGGAUCUGCGGUGGGUACGGGCAGACUAGAGUGAUGUAGGGGAGACUGGAAUUCCUGGUGUAGCGGUGAAAUGCGCAGAUAUCAGGAGGAACACCGAUGGCGAAGGCAGGUCUCUGGGCAUUAACUGACGCUGAGGAGCGAAAGCAUGGGGAGCGAACAGGAUUAGAUACCCUGGUAGUCCAUGCCGUAAACGUUGGGCACUAGGUGUGGGGGACAUUCCACGUUUUCCGCGCCGUAGCUAACGCAUUAAGUGCCCCGCCUGGGGAGUACGGCCGCAAGGCUAAAACUCAAAGGAAUUGACGGGGGCCCGCACAAGCGGCGGAGCAUGCGGAUUAAUUCGAUGCAACGCGAAGAACCUUACCAAGGCUUGACAUGAACCGGAAACGCCUGGAAACAGGUGCCCCGCUUGCGGUCGGUUUACAGGUGGUGCAUGGUUGUCGUCAGCUCGUGUCGUGAGAUGUUGGGUUAAGUCCCGCAACGAGCGCAACCCUCGUUCUAUGUUGCCAGCACGUGAUGGUGGGGACUCAUAGGAGACUGCCGGGGUCAACUCGGAGGAAGGUGGGGACGACGUCAAAUCAUCAUGCCCCUUAUGUCUUGGGCUUCACGCAUGCUACAAUGGCCGGUACAAAGGGUUGCGAUACUGUGAGGUGGAGCUAAUCCCAAAAAGCCGGUCUCAGUUCGGAUUGGGGUCUGCAACUCGACCCCAUGAAGUCGGAGUCGCUAGUAAUCGCAGAUCAGCAACGCUGCGGUGAAUACGUUCCCGGGCCUUGUACACACCGCCCGUCAAGUCACGAAAGUUGGUAACACCCGAAGCCGGUGGCCUAACCCCUUGUGGGAGGGAGCUGUCGAAAGGUGGGACUGGCGAUUGGGACUAAGUCGUAACAAGGUAA